Nymphaea colorata (pocket water lily) is the source of this 1986-nucleotide RNA transcript. It is a transcript of the gene named serine/arginine-rich splicing factor SR45a, with no coding region annotated. NCBI's taxonomy places the organism in Eukaryota, Viridiplantae, Streptophyta, Magnoliopsida, Nymphaeales, Nymphaeaceae. The record is from RefSeq and is a predicted model, not a curated record. The transcript is spliced from 8 exons.
GAGAGAUCUUUUACCUUCUUGAUUUGUUCUUCUGAAUGUUUUGAUUUGAUGGUUCUCACAGAGAAAUAGGUUUUCUUGUGUUUCUCUUUGAGUUUUGCUUUUUCUCCGUGAGAAUUCUUUGGAAGGGGCUUCUUUUUAUGUCUGUGACCUCAAAAUUUCUUAAUUUCAUAAUAUGUUUUGAUAUGAAUUAGUUUUUAUGCUUUUUUUUUUGGGUUCGCAAGUGGCCGAUAUGUUUUCCUGGUUUCACUGUCUUUUGCUUGGUGGCGUUUUGGUUUUUUCCUCGAACGUACGUGCUUCUCCUUAUAUGUUCGACGAACCAGUAAUUCGGUUUGGCUGACUUGCUGUUAUUUUUCUCUUUGUCUGAUGGAGCAAUGUUUAGGUUGUUGUUAUUGUUGUUAUUCUUUCUGUCGUUGCUGUUAUCCUCAUUGUUGUUCUGAUUAUUUCUUGUGGUUAUUAUUUUUCUUUUUGUUACUGCUGUUAUUAUCUUUUCCUCUUUCUGAAGGUUUAUUUAUUAUUAUGUUGUUAAAGUAUCGUUAUUUCUUUCUUUGAAUAGGGUUUUAUGGCAUUACAUGUUCAAUUACGAAAUAGUUUUCAUCGAUUUUUUUUUUAGUUUUCUGAAAAAUCAAGAUUAUUAUUAUUAAAUUUUUAGGUUCGUGUUAAGAGUCUUUACGUAACUUUAGUACGUAAAGGAAACUUGUUCAUCAUGUAUGUCAACUUGUUGGGUGUCUAGGAGGCUAUAUGGGGUCAAUAAACAAAUACGACGGUCAAACUUUAUAAUAUCUUUUACAGAAAUGCUUUAAAUUUUUAGAUUUCGCAUGAGAUGGGAGUUCGUAUGUUCGUUGCUAUUUCUUUUGAUUGGGCCACUUAUCAUUUAACUUUUCGUACUCUUCUUCUUCUUCUAUUUGUUACUAUGUGAUGGACGAUAGUUUCCGAGGACUACACAAAAGGCUACAGGGACUUUAUCUGCUUGUUUUGAUUUUGCUGAAGGACAAUAUUUUUGUUGAACUAUGCUACUUCUGCAGGCUUUGGGGUCCGCGUUCUUGUACUGUUAUACUUGUUCUCAUGGGUGAUGCAAUCAACUUGCAUGACAUCAUGGCAACAAGGUGGAUAAUAGGUUUAUGCUUCAUUUAUGUAUUUCUGGUUGUGAAUGGUCUGUUAUAUGACAUAUCACUGACCUGUUUCCUCUUCUCAAUGUGGCAGAUGUCAUACUCCAGAAGUGAGAGGUACUAUUGUCGGUCUCGUUCAUCUUCACGCUCACGUUCACGUUCCAGGUCAUUGUCGCCCGAUAUGGACCGGAGGCGGAGAAGGUCCUUGUCAAGGUCAAGGAGUCGUUCAAGGAGCUAUGACUAUGAAGCAGAAAACCCUGGAAAUAACCUCUACGUGACCGGGCUUUCAACUCGAGUCACCAAGAAAGAGCUUGAGAGGCAUUUCGCCAGUGAAGGUGGCAUGGUGGAGGAUUGUCACCUGGUUGUCGAUCCUCGAACCAGGGAAUCUCGUGGAUUUGCAUUUGUGACGAUGUCCACUGUUGAGGAAGCGGAUCGGUGUAUUAAGUAUCUAGACCGCUCUGUUCUAGGCGGUCGAGUAAUUACUGUGGAGAAGUGUUGUUGGCAGCAGGGUGGCUGUGUGUAGCAGCUCUACAUCAAAACUCAAAUUCAAACUCAAACUCUCAGCAAAUUCAGACAUGUGGCAGAGGGUUGUAUGCCCUGCAUUUCUUUCUUUGAGCGAUUAACUUGCAUGUUUGCUGUAUCUGAUAACGCGUGUUGCCUGUAAUUCAGUUUUUCCUUACAACGUUCUUACUCCAUUUGUUCUAACUUACCGAGGUUCCAUGUUGUGCAGGCGAAACGAAGUCGAGGCCGAACACCGACCCCUGGUCGUUACCUGGGUGUGAAGACCGUCAGAGUGAGGCGUAGGUCUCCAAGCUACUCACCUUAUGACUCUGAAUAUUCUGACGAGAGGGAUCGAUCCUAUUCUCCAUACGACCGGCGG